UACAGAGGGGGCAAGCGUUGUUCGGAAUUACUGGGCGUAAAGGGCGCGUAGGCGGCCCGCUAAGUCGAACGUGAAAUCCCCGAGCUCAACUCGGGAACUGCGUCCGAUACUGGUGGGCUUGAAUCCGGGAGAGGGAUGCGGAAUUCCAGGUGUAGCGGUGAAAUGCGUAGAUAUCGAGAGGAACACCGGUGGCGAAGGCGGCCUUCUGGACAGUGACUGACGCUGAGACGCGAAAGCGUGGGGAGCAAACAGG
Molecule: ribosomal RNA, 253 nt
Filed under: uncultured bacterium
Lineage: Bacteria
Description: partial 16S ribosomal RNA
Rfam family: Bacterial small subunit ribosomal RNA
Source: RNAcentral